UACAGGGGGGGCAAGCGUUUGUUCGGAAUUACUGGGCGUAAAGGGCUCGUAGGUGGCCAACUAAGUCAGACGUGAAAUCCCUCAGCUUAACUGGGGAACUGCGUCUGAUACUGGAUGGCUUGAGUUUGGGAGAGGGAUGCAGAAUUCCAGGUGUAGCGGUGAAAUGCGUAGAUAUCUGGAGGAAUACCGGUGGCGAAGGCGGCAUCCUGGACCGACAUUGACGCUGAAAACCGAAAGCUAGGGGAGCAAACGGG
RNAcentral lists this ribosomal RNA (254 nucleotides) under uncultured bacterium. RNAcentral describes it as "partial 16S ribosomal RNA". It matches the Rfam family "Bacterial small subunit ribosomal RNA", at positions 524 to 776 of the family's 1533-position model. The record is from RNAcentral.